This 253-nucleotide ribosomal RNA is filed under the name uncultured bacterium. Its description in RNAcentral is "partial 16S ribosomal RNA". It matches the Rfam family "Bacterial small subunit ribosomal RNA", at positions 524 to 776 of the family's 1533-position model. The record is from RNAcentral.
UACAGAGGGUGCAAGCGUUAAUCGGAUUUACUGGGCGUAAAGCGUGCGUAGGCGGCUCGCUAAGUCGGUUGUGAAAUCCCUGGGCUUAACCUGGGAACUGCAGUCGAUACUGGCGGACUAGAGUACGGUAGAGGGUGGCGGAACUCCGGGUGUAGCGGUGAAAUGCGUAGAUAUCCGGAAGAACACCGAUGGCGAAGGCAACCACCUGGGCCUGUACUGACGCUGAGGUACGAAAGCCAGGGGAGCGAGCGGG